Non-coding RNA from Rattus norvegicus (Norway rat), 2811 nucleotides. Lineage: Eukaryota; Metazoa; Chordata; Mammalia; Rodentia; Muridae. The record is from RefSeq and is a predicted model, not a curated record.
AUCUAAAGCCCUGGACACACUGUUUUAAAGAGAUAGCUGGAGAAGACCGCUUUCGCCGUUUGUCAUGUCAGCGGAAGCGUGGAGGUAAGAAGGGCCUAGCCAGGUUAGAGGAGUGGAUGAAUCUCCCAGUAGAGGGAAGAGCAAAGAUGCUGACACAACAAUGCUUGGCACACUGGCGAUGCUGGCAGACGGCGGGCGAGGGUGACGCGGGCACCGAGGCUGAGAAGAUGGGGGCGCGCGCACGAGGUGUAACCAGAAGAGGUCAGAAGUGCAGGCGGCAGUGAUGAGGUUGGCGCUUCGCGGUUGUUGGCAGUGUGAUACCAGAACUCCCUCUCCCAGCCAUUCUAACAGGGUUCUACAGAGUGCCCACCAGCAAGACCUUUAUCAGGUGUCAUCCUUCAAUCUCGGACAUUCCUGCCUGCAGAAUUGUGACUAUAAUAAACCUUUCUUCUUUAUAAUCAUCUUCUCUGUGAUAUUCAAGGACAGCAACAGAAAAUAGACUAAGAAAGGUUACUGAGUCCUGCUUCUUAACUGUCCUGGUAAGUAUACAGGGGGUGUCAGCCAGAAGCAAGGCUAUGAUGGGAACAUGGGGAGGAAUGAGCCUUUCUCAACCGAUUUAUCUGGGCGAUCUCUCUCUCUCUCUCUCUCUCUUUCUCUCUCUCUCUCUCUCUCUCUCUCUCUCUCUCUCUUUCAGUUUCUGGAAUACUGUAAUUACAAGUAUGAACAGUCACAUCCAGUUGAAGAACUCAUGAAUGAAUGUGUGUUAAAUGAAUUCCUAUUACCCAGCUAUCUCUGAGAAGAUACUGAUAACGUGGAUAUAUGGCAAAGUCUUCUACCUGACACACCAAGUCUCUCUCCUUAGAAAGUAGUCAUCACAGCAUGUAGCUCCAUCGAUAGCACAAACAGAAGAAGGCUUGAGUUCAUUCCUCAGCCCUGCGCAAACCAGGAGUGUCGUGCAUGCUUGUAAUGUCAGCAUUCAAGAGGUCUAGACACAAGGAUCAGAAAUUCAGGGUCUUCUCUGGAUCCAUACAGAGUUUGAGGCCCACCUAAGCUAUAUAAUACUACAUGUGUAUACGGGAGAAGGUGACCAUAGCCCACAUUCUUUCCCAUGUUGUUCAAUGGUGCGAUGUAAAUAACUCAAUCUCAGAGACAGAACGCAGUCUAUUCCUUAGAAAGAGCCACUUCUUGUUUUCUUGGAGUCCUGCAGACGGAGACUACAGUGAUGGCCACAGUAGGUAGGAAACCCCAAACUACAUUUCAGAAGAAAUGUGAACAUGGCUCACAUCCCCUGUCUUUGUUGGGGACACCAGCCACUCUUCCCCCUAAUACAUGGGAGAUUUCAUGGAGGAUCUGGAGAAAUCCCAGAUCAUGCUAGGGGAUUUUCAUAGCAACAGGGGAGGAGGCAGUUUCCUGGUAAAUCGUGGCACCUUGCUUCAUAGUGCUUAGUAACUUAGGUCUCAGACCACCACAGAGCAACAGGGUCCAUCACAUAAUUUCUUUGUUCCUUUGGGUCAAGGGUCAACUUUGUCCUUGUCUAUAGAAUAAUCAAUUGGAGGACCUUGUGCCCUUAGGGUGGAAUAUCUUUCUCUGUUUGUCAAGUCACUGCCCUGCAGGUGGCAGAAGAAAUUCCUUCCCAGUUCUGCCCCUGCUGCUAAAGGCAGAAUAGUACGUUUGGAGAUAGUGAUGAUGAGGGUGAGGUGUGUGUGUGUGUGUGUGUGUGUGUGUGUGUGUGUGUGUGUGUGUCUGUAUUGUGUGUCUACCUGUGUAUGUCUUUGUGUAUAUCUCUGUGUGUAUCUGUGAGUGUGUAUAUGUGUGUAUUUCUGUGUUCUUCUCUCUCUCUCUCUCUCUCUCUCUGUGUGUGUGUGUGUGUAUCUGUGUAUAUCUGUGAGUGUAUAUCUGUGUGUGUAUUUCUGUGUUCAUCUCUCUCACAGAUACACACAGAUAUACAUUCACAGGCACACAGAGUUACACACAACACAUUAUACACACAUAUACACACACAUAUAUACAGAGAGAGAGACAGAGAGAGAGACAGAGAGAGAGACAGAGACAGAGAGACAGAGAGAGAGAGAGAGAGAGAGAGAGAGAGAGAGAGAGAGAGAGAGAGAGAGAGAUACACAUAGCCUGGAAGAAGAACUUUGGUUGCUUUUAGCUGCCUGCCACAGGAAUCAGUAGAUUCCUGACUGCAAUGCCUGGAGCAGCAGAACACACACUCAAGCUCUGACCUGACCUCCCCCACCCCUUUUCGACUUUGUGGGACUUGUGUACAAUUUGGAAAAGAGAUGAAGGACAUCCUAGCUCCCAGCUGACCAGCCCCCUCUGUGGCCUGGAGACCCCAUUCCCUCUUGCCCUGCCCUACAGGCUUGCAAGCAUAGUUCACAGCUCCCUCUGUGGCCUGGCCUUCCCAGACCUUUCCCUCUAUAGACAGCCAGUCUCCGGCUCUCUCAGGCUCUAAACCAAGCAUUUCGGGGAUUGGAUAAAUGAAAGUACAUAUCUUGUCAUAGAGCAGCAGCGGGGGGAACAGCUGCUGCACCAAUUCUGCAAAACCCAGUGCUCCCUGGGGAGUCUGGGCAUCUUAGAACCUAGGGAUGGCGGCCUCCAAUUCUUUUAAUUGUCUGCAUAAAUAAUACCGGUCUUAGGAAGUUAGGGGCCACAUUUCAGGACUGGCUCUGUAUUUGUUAAUGGGCCACCCUGCCAAAGAGGUUAAGUCUUUGUGCCUGGAACGUAACUCAAAGCUCUAAGGGUUUAGUAGGGCGACAAACGUCUGUGUCUCUUUUUGCUUUUGACCGAAAUCCAGCAGGGAGGAGCCAC